CACGUAGGGCGCGAGCGUUGUCCGGAAUUAUUGGGCGUAAAGAGCUCGUAGGCGGCCUGUUGCGUCCGCUGUGAAAGCCCGGGGCUUAACCCCGGGUCGGCAGUGGAUACGGGCUGGCUGGAGGCAGGCAGGGGAGAACGGAAUUCCCGGUGUAGCGGUGAAAUGCGCAGAUAUCGGGAGGAACACCGAUGGCGAAGGCGGUUCUCUGGGCCUGUACUGACGCUGAGGAGCGAAAGCGUGGGGAGCGAACAGG
RNAcentral lists this ribosomal RNA (253 nucleotides) under uncultured bacterium. RNAcentral describes it as "partial 16S ribosomal RNA". It matches the Rfam family "Bacterial small subunit ribosomal RNA", at positions 524 to 776 of the family's 1533-position model. The record is from RNAcentral.